Diachasmimorpha longicaudata is the source of this 10555-nucleotide long non-coding RNA. RefSeq lists it as uncharacterized. The record is from RefSeq and is a predicted model, not a curated record. Lineage: Eukaryota; Metazoa; Arthropoda; Insecta; Hymenoptera; Braconidae. The transcript is spliced from 4 exons.
CGUGUACAACGCGCAGGGAAUUUCUCUCCUCGUACAAAAUACACUUCAAAUCUGUGCGCAAUAUUUUUAUAGCUAAGAAAUCAAUUGAUUCGAAAAUACAUAUAUUUGCAAAGCUGUGAGUAGUGUUGUAUAUUGACAAGAAGUAGUAAAAUAUUGAUGGGGCGUGAAAAUGGUGGCUGACGGAAAAGGUUAAUCAGCGCUUAUUGAGGAACCAUGAGUCGGAAUUACCGUAAUCCGUCGGUAUACGACUUCACUGAGAUAUUUGAAAUUUUACUUCAGAAAUACCAUUCGAUGACUGGGAUAUUCACCGUAGACCGCAUGUCGGUAAAAUAUUAUCGAUAAGGUAGUACUCGUCUUAUGAUAAUGUGUCAUGACAUGCGACUUUAUUGACAUAAGAAAUCGUAAGGCAUGGUCGGUAAGUUACCUUCGCAAAAAGUUGGUAAUACAGGAAUGUGAUAAUCACUUGUUCAAAAAUAUAUUACUAACAGUUGCAGUAUGACCAUAUAGUUAACAAAUAAAUAAUUCAUUUUCGAAUGAAACCUGUUUCGAUCUUGUAAACAUCAUCUGGACAAUUGUAGGAGUGCAGUUUCAUAAUUUAGAAACGAACCGUUUUUUAAAAUAAUUUUUCUGCGUUGUACAAAAAUAUAAGAUUAACAUAAAGUAGUAUUUAUUCCGACUGAUAACUCGCGUAAAAAAAUAUGUUAAUGAUUAAUAGUAAGGAAUGAGCCGUUAAUAUGAAUUCUUGUUAAUCGGUAUCAGAGAAAAAUAUUCACUAAAAGUUAUGGAGGUGACGUUCCCUUACGAUUAUGAAAUCGUAGCCAAAAAUUUAAGUGUUCUCAUGAUUUUCUACCCAAGAUCAUAACCGAUAAAUAAAAUGUAUGCUGCUAAUACUUUGUUUGUUUGUAAUUUGAUUACAGAUAUUUAUACAUAUCAAGUCAUUGACUGAAAUCGCAUUUGGCAUUUGCUUCUGUUUCGCUUUCAAAAAUCGUGAAUUUAAAAUCGUUUUUUGUUCCUUUGAAAAGUCAUUUCAGCUUUGAGCCCCUGAACUUGACAACUGAUAACUAUAAUUUAUUUCAUUUGUUCAAAUAUUUGCUAUCAGAAUCGACUAUAUCUACGUAUCCCUCCGAAGUUCUAUCUUAUAUAUGAGUCAGGAGGUUAUUGUAAAGCUCUUAGACAUUAUUGUGCUGAAUUUUAUAGAAUAUCGUUCAAUAAAUGGCCAAUUUUUCACGGGCCUUUAUAUACUCUCCAUUUUUCAAAUAUACUUUAUCCUAAUUAAAAAUUUUGUAAUCAAGAUCCCCCUGCAAUAAUGAUACCCUGUGUUAAUUCACAGUAAGUAAACUGAAAUCAAUAUAUUUCAAACAGCACUCUAAUUUGAUCUGUACUAUAAUUUGGAGUAACUGUGGGCAUUGUACUUUCGCUUGUUGUAACUUUAUCGCAUAGAAAAAAAAACCAAUGUAUUUUCAUCAUUUGGGACUUCAAAUAAGUCAGGUAAACAGAAAACCAAAAUUGCCAGAAAACAGCUGGCUUCAUUUUUCUUAGAACAUAUCCAGAAUUUAUCGAGUUAAAUCUUCCCAGAAUGUCAGUAAUAAUGCAAAGCCCUAUCGGAUUUUCCAGGUUCCAUCACUUGUCUCGUCAAAUUCAUUAUUAAGUUAUCGAAAUGUACGUGAAACAAGAAUCGAAUCCCAACGGAAAUGUAAAUAAGAACAUGCCAAUCAUCUCGACCACUUUAAUCAUUCUUCGGUCAAUCUGAUUCAAAACUAUCUGUUAUUUACAUACCUGGAAAUUAAAUCUCAAGUUCGAUGUGGGAUUCUCUAGCAGCUCCUGAAACAAACAAAUAUUUGUUUUAAAUUCUAUUUGCAGAAAAACAAUUACUUAUCGCUAGUAAUCUCUAGUAAUUAAAAGCCUCAUCUCCAAUUUUUUUGGCUCAAGUACACCAGCCAAAUAACCUCAAUCAUAACAAGACAUGUCAGCUAACAAUCUCUGACUGAUUCUCAACAUAUGAUCGGAUAUUUCCAGAUAGAAACAGAUCCACUCUACGAAUGCAUUGUUUACACUGAAUAACGUCGAGAUCGAUUGUGAACGUAUCGUCAGUACUUCUUGAUAGCAAUGUUUACACAAAUUUAACGACCGAGUCAUAAAAAAUUACCCAUUAUAUUAAAAUGCGUGGGUGAACUAGCCACGCGACUCAGACGUUGAGAAUGAGGGAAAAGGGAAGGGUGGUGGAGAAAGGAAAAAGGGAGGAGAAUGGAGACAGAUAACAUUUUGACGCACGAGUAGAAUCGAAUUUACACCGACAGUCACUCGAAUUAUUCUUUUACAAUUCUCCAGGAUAAAUUUUGUGGCUUAAAACGUGGAAUGUUACGAUCCCCUGUGUUACAGAAGAAAAGGAAAGUGACAAGAACAUCACCAUGGUACUGCAAGCUACGGAGCGGCCAUAUUGGGCUAGCGAGUGAGUGCUGCCCUCUGGAUUCAAUCUCAUCAACUACGUUCGCUGCGGCGGGAUAAUCGAAGAGGGAGAACACCAGGGGGAUUCGCGAAACAGAAUUUUCGAAUAUUACGAAUAUUUUAUCGCCCAUAUACUGAACAACGUAUUACAUAAAUAUUUGAUCAGAGAAUUUCGAGUUAAGUAGAAGUGUAAAAUUAUCGGUCAAUAUUGUAAUGCCGAUAAUAGCGGAUUCUCUAUUCUCUGCUGGUAACACGCUUGCACAAAGAGACUAUAUUAAUGUAUUAUUUUUUGUGCUGGUCGGGACGGAGAAUUAAGCAUCAAAAACAAUUUUGUUAAUGCAUUUUUUAUAAAUACCGGAGUCGGCACGAUUAUUGCAGAUGGUACCCGCACUUACCAUCAGCCGGUGCUCAGACCGUUUCGACAAUCCAUAAAAUGAAUAUUUCACAUUAGAAUUUAUUUGGUGUUAUCUUCUCAAACACGUAAAAGCUAUAAAAAGUAUUGGGCAGUAAUUCGGAAAAUUGGGUGGGAAUAGGAGUUUUCAGUUAUUUUCACACAUUCAUAUAUGCCACAUAGUUUAGUACAUAUGUGAAUAUUAAUAAUUCUAAAUUAAUAAAUAUGAGAUAGAACGUGAUAGAUAAUUUAUGUGCGCAAAAAACGUUAUUUCAAUUAUUUUGUAUCUAUUUUAUAUUCUAUUUUAUAUGUUGUAUUAUAUAUGUACACAUGUAAAUAUAUAGGAAAUUGUUUCCGUAUAAAACGAAGUUAAAUCCUGCUUGAACAUUGGUUACUAGAAAAAUUUUAACGAUAAAUAAUUUCUUUAAAAGUUAGGAGGCCCAAUGUAAUUGGGUUUUCUGUUUUGUCAGUUUUCAAUCAUUUUUCAAUUUAUCGUGAGGAUAAAGUUGCUUUAGGAGGCGGAGGGUCGAGGAUGUGUAUCGGAAUAUCCGAUGAUAUUUUUCAAAAUGUUUGUUGAGGGAGUAGAAGGAAGGAGACGAUAUGACCAGAAAAUUGGAAUGUACACCAAGAUAAAAGGUUCAAUAAAAAAAAUAUUGAACUUUUGUAAUUCGCAAGCGAGAAUAAGGGUCCGAUAAAAAGUAGAGACAAUCCAGAAAAAAAUUCCUACCACUCCGUAAAUAAUCCACGAACAAUUCCAUAAUUUUCACAGAAAGUUCUGGAUUUUUUUGGUGGUUCCUCCGUAAUUUUUAUCGCACCCUUGUUUUUAUUUCGAAAGUGGCAUAUAAUUUUGAGAAAUUUUAUUACAGGUGGGUGUUGUCAAAAUUUCCAUAAUAAUAAAUUGGAUAAUUUCAAUACUUGGAUAUGAUCAUAUUCUAGGUGACAGUAUCCCACCCCUUAGAAAUUCUCUUCCACAAAAUUCAAUUCUUCUCCCAGGAAAUUGAUCGUUGCAAAAGUCAUUGUUGUUCUCAGCAUAUAUCUCCAUCCUCUAAACUAUGACCUAAUUAAUUCCCAGUAUCGAAUUCUCCUACAUUCCCCCUCAUUUCUAUUCCCACUGCUGAUCCACAUGAAAUCGAACCGUUAACAGUAAUCUCCCUAGUUGACAACACAACAAUAACACGACCAAUUUACUCGUUUAAUGAUCAGCAAAUCUCUGAUAUAUGAUUCCCCGCAUAUUUGCCGGUGAAGUUUGUGCAUUAUAUAUCCGAUAGUUGGUAACAGAAACUGAAAUCCAUUAUUCUCCGCACACAAGUGCAGAAUUAUUGGCUCAAUAUUAGCCUCACAACGAUGAGAUCACCGGAUAGUGCACAUUAGUGGUUGGUAUACAGGUAUACAUCUGCAAUUGUAUUUUGCGACUAGGUGAUCUCGAAUCCCACCAAGUGUCGGACCAAACAAAUUGGUAACAUCGUACUUAUGUAACAUGCACCGUGAUGCUAAGAGCAAUUUGUGUCUGUCCAGAGUUCAGUGAGUCGAGGCUCAUCGUAUUCAAAGUCCACCCUAUCCUUCGUAAACUUGCACCAACCCCUCUGUAAAAGAGUCAACGAACUUCCUUAACGAACUCUCCAAGAGAAACCUCUUUUCAGUGUUCAUCUAAUAAAGUUAAGAGAUCGUAGCUAUAUAUCCCGAUAAUAAUUAUAAAUAAAUAAAAUUGAAAGCGUAUGCUAUGAACGAUUUUAAUCUUGUAUCCUUGAAAGUUAGCAAAGUAAAAUCCGAAGAGUUUGCUUAAUGACGAGCAGAUUAAAAAAGUGGUUACAUAUCGAUCUUAUUAUUUAUCUAGUUUUUUCAAAGUUUGCUCAAAUCCUUUGCGACGACAAAUAUGGAGCUUGGGAAUAGAUUUCGGAAAUUUUAGAAAGAACCAUCAUAAAUCAUCAAAACAAUCGUUCGACGAUAUUUGGAAGAAUUGUGAUAAAAAAAAGUGACAAAAAUAAGGUACAAAAAUAUUCCAGCACAUCAUUUCUUCUUCUGAAGAUGUUCUGAAUUUGACAUCCAAAAAAAAUCUUAAAAAGCUCUCUUCGGAACAAAUAUCCGAGCUAAAAUUUCCUCCCAACAAUCUUCCAAAAAAUAUUUUAACGUCACGCAGCAGAUCUUCCCAAGAUCUUUCGAUGAUUCUCCUGAGAAUUUUCGAAAAAUCUUCGAGAGAUAGAAAUUUUCCUGUGCGGAACGAUGGGACGUGCUCCAGCAGUAAGAGACUAUCGAUCAUAUAACCUCUGACCUCUUCAUACUCUGGACAGUCCCAAAAAACAUAAUUCAAGUCCUCCCUCACGUGAUCGUAUCUUCAGUUCGCAGAUUGAAUGAACCCUUCGCGUUCGAGGGAAGCGGCCAGAUGGUACUGGUUCGGACGAGCUCUCCCCGAGAAAUCGUGCGACGAGAUCAUCUGUCUUAUUAACUGAACUUUCUGAAUUACGUCAAUUUAACCAGUAAAAGUAUUUCAUACAAUGCCCAUUUCCUGUCUUCUCUGCAGUCCAAUUGCCCGUUGUCAUUAACGCGACAAUUCCGCGUCGCUACAUGUCGCAUGGUGACCUCGCGUGCAUACAGAACAUCGGGUGGGUGAAUAGUACAGUAUACACUGUAUACUAUACUGGAUGAAAGUGGGGAAAAGCGAAUAGAGAUGAGAGGAUAGGUGAAUGGGUGGUGGGUGAACGAGGGAGAUCUGAAAGUGUCUAGUGCAAUUGCAGCGCACUGGCGUUGAAGUUGCAUGUUCCACGCGGUGUGUGGUUGAGCAGUACUACCGAAGCACGUUUAACGCGCCAGAGAUAUCUGUUCGUUCCCCGCAUUUUGAAUAAUAUAUAUCGAGGGAUGUCCGUUGAAGCGGAAAUUUUUCCCUCUAAUUCUAAUACUCCUCGAAUUAUUCGAUACCUAAAGGAGGCAAGGCGGUCUUUCUCCUGAAUUUGAGAAUGUUUCUAUGGUAUCCGGUAGCUUAGUCGGUAAAAGUGCCUGGCGCGACACUGGGAAACCCGGGUUCGAGUCCCAGUUGAGUCAAAGCGGAAUUUUUUCUCUCCAAUUUUAAUUAUCUUCAAUUUUUUUUGGGUCAUUUUUUCUCCCUUCCGCCGAACGUUACAUUAUCCGUAGGAGACCUUUCGCUCAUUGCAGCUGGAGACAAAUCAGCAUUACAUAAUUAAUUGGUUAUGAUUGAUUUGCUCUGGGAUGGAGGCAUUGAAAUCGUUCAAUUAUUCGGUUUCCUCAUUUGGAUCGGAAAUUAUGGAGAGCCAUCUAACUUUGAAGAAUAUUGAGUUUGCGGCGAAGGUUUGCAGGGGUGAAUUCACUGAUAGAACCAGUUAUUUAUUCUACAUGAGAUUCGUUGACUAUUAAUGGCGGCGUUGAAUGUGAUCGUGUGAAUACUUGUUGAUAGGACACAAAUGCAUAUCGCAAUGUUUCAGAUAAAAUUUAGAUGAAAAUGACAGAACGGUCUGAAAAAAUGUGAAAAAGGCUUUAUAUUUAUAAUUCUUCAUAUCUGUAUGAAAUACCAAAUAAAUAUUGUAUUCUAUGUCUGGUAUUUUAGUUUCAAUUAAAAAUAUAAUUUCAGAUUAUCCGUCAUUUCCCCUGAAAAGUCAUCUCUCAAUCGAUUUAACCGAUGUUCGUCCUCAUUCGACAUUCUAAAGCGACUUCUGGCCCAUCAAUUCUCAUUUGGUUCUGCUGAAUCCUGUCAGUAGGAUAACGACCGUAAGACGUAUCACUCAGUGUUACCAAAAUAGAAGAGAAGAAGAGAUUUUAAUUAGCGUCCGCAUCGAGUCUAAAUCGAAUGAUGAUUCGAGAUUAUAGAUGGGCCUUCCUUACAUCUAAUAACUAAUCGUUAUUUGUCACUCCGAAAUAGGACAAAUUUGAUUUGAAUUAUUGAAUCGGCAAUGUUCAUCCAGAAUUAAUAGCUUUUCUUCCUCUAGACUAUAUAGAAGAUUAUUAAUUAAUUAUCGAGGUAGAAGUGUUAACCAUUCCAGACGUGAAUAGGAAGCAACGGAAAAGAGAAAAUACAAUUGGCGGAACUCUUUCCUCAUCGAGCGCAAAAUACAGCGGUGAACCGCAAGAAAGGGGUGUGAGGGUGCAGCGGUUGACAAUGCGCGUUGAGGGUUAACAGGAAGCAGUCGAGUUGAGCUGAAAACAAAUAGCGCUGUUUUACCAUUUUCGUGUCAUCAUUUAUCUCUCCUGCUAAUUACUUUUCUUUCUGCUUCCAUGAAAAAAGGGCUGAAGAGAAACGAAAGGUCAUCGAAGCAAGAGCUAAAUGUCUUAACGUGGGUUAAACCGUCCCACACAAAAAUAUAGCAAACUGUAGAUGUAUAAACAUCAAGUUUGUGAGAAUAGGAGUAAAAUAGAAGACUCUAAUUACGUUAAUGAGGAGUCUCCCCAGCGAUGUUAAAGGCCACCUAAUGAGAGGUUCGUUUUUUCAAUUUUUUAUUCUCUUGAAAUACCAUCGAUGAAUGGUUUUUGGGAAUCCAUAUCUACCCCUGCAGAAGGGCAGUUGCCUUUUCACGUUGGGAAUUCUCCCGCCCCUGUCUUUCACAAGUACUUGAAAAGCAUUGGGCGCAAUUUUAUCAAUGAAAGAAAACUAUGAUUUCCCUCGGGAAGAAUCGCAGUAGAGCCCCAAAUGCCUGCACCCUAGCCAUCCCAGAAGUCAAUCUGUCACUACCCUACACUGCGAAACUAAUAUCUUUAGCAGGACAGGGUAUUUCAGGAUAGAAUAUUAAUUCGAAUAAAAAGUUUGCAACCUGACUUAAUUCCGCGAUAGCCGAAGAAUAAAAUCUGCCAAAUGGCACUUUCCAAUCAUAAAUUUCAAGUACAAAAAUGAAAAAAUUAAAUGAGCUCCUUAAAUAAUUAAAAACACGUUCAUUGCUCAAGUUAAAAAUAAGCUCAUUACAUAAGUUGAAGGCAAGUUCAUUAAAUAAGUUACAAAUACGUUCAUUAAAUAAGAAAAUGGCGUGAUUACAGAAAGAAAAUGAUAAAAUAUGCACUGAAAUGUUAAUGUAGUAAUUGAACUUAUUUAAUCGAGCGUUAUAUCCAAUUAACUGAAAAUUAAACCCUGAAAGUGUUUAUUUUAUGUCACCUGUUUCCAGAAAUCUCGUCUUGCCUGAACACACACUGGGGGUAGGGAAAUACACUGACAUUCUCCGAAUUCACGUCCCCUAUCCCCCGUGAGUGUGACUGUAAUAGGAAUUCACUGUAAUAGGAUAUUUCGAAUAUUUUGUAUCCACUAAAGUGAUACCAUAUUUCGUCUAUAAGAUAUUGCCACUCGCUCAGCUGGAUAUUGUUGUCAUAUUACACAGUUUCGUCAUACCAUGGAGUGAUGCAUGCUAAUGCCUGAGACAAAUCGCAACCCGUGAAGUGUACAAGCAUCCAAAUGAAUCUUCAAACUUUUAUGGAUGUCUACUUAAUCUUCUCACCAUAAAUGUGGCACUGAGAAUACAAUAUGGAAUACUUUAUGCAGAAAAAUAUGGAUUUUCAAUGACAAUACUCAGCUAGUCGUAGCUUUAAACUUUUGAAGAACUUUACUAUUUACGGAAUAUACUUUAUAUUUCAUGAUGCACUUCUGGUGGACCAUGAUGAAUAAAUGAGACUCCAUUAUGAGAAACUUUUCCGUCACUCAUUACUGAAUUAAUCUCCCCAAAGAUUAAGAGGGAAAAAAAUAAACUAGAGGAAUAAGAAAAUAUUCGACAUAAAGUCGUGCAGUAAACGCUGAAUCACGGGAGUUCUGGUCGCAGUUUACGCACGUUGUUAUAAAAAGUUUCGUGGGAAAGACGUGCGAUAUCGAUUUUACAACUGGUGUGACUGGUAAACUCGUCUGCAAGUUGUUUUCCAGGGUGUUUAAUGGAUGAAAUUAAUUACAUAACAAGGGCGGUAAGUUUUUAGAAAGAACAGAGAACUUUUAUGAUCACCAGACUCAAAUGAUUUCUAUCACACGUGUUUCUGCGGAAUUUUACAGUGUGACGUGCGUAAAAAUUGAGGAAUGGCCGCGCCAACGUGCGCCAUUUGGCAUUUUCCGCACGGAAUCGUGUAAAAUACUUUUCUGGACUAAUGCUUUUAAUGAAUAACUCCUCAGAGACUUUUGGCACUCAGAAUAGUUCCGCUUGGGUAAUGGCAAUUACUCGGGAAAUUUAUUCUCUCAUUUUUACCCAAUUAGAAAUAAAUUGGUUUCGAGAAAAUCUAAUUAAACUUAAUCGAACCGGCGACGAUUUUCCGAUCAAAUAAUACGUUUGACGGUUCGCUCAGCCAUGGCAUACAGCCAUUAAUGAUUUCCGACACUAAUGAUGGUUACCUGCGGUAUGUAUUCCACGUUCAUUCCCCUCCAAAAGGUUGGAUUGUCCAAUGACAAUGAAACUGAUGCACAACAGAGCUGGAUAUGGUGUGUACCAUUCGCAAUACACUGAAAGAGAGUGAGUAGAUCGUUAUGCGUGGACUGUGGAAACGUUUCCGUUCUAGUUAAUUUUAUAACGUUAUUAACAUCCUCAUUUGAUUGUCUAAUGAGUAGUUCUGGAUGCUGUAUGAGCAGAUAACAUAUGAUAUAAAAUUUUGAUAAUUAAGUAUAUUUACAAAUUCGUAAUUAAGUAUAAUUAAUUAAUUUUUUUUUCAUCACGAAUUAAUUGGUACCUGGCUUUGUACGUUCUGUGGACUUUGUCAGCCAUUUGCCUAUAGCUCAUUGAAUUUUUAUAUUUUUCAUGAUUCGUUUUCAUUUUCAUUUAAUAUUGAAAUUUUUUUCGAUUACAAAAUCAAAACAGCACUGAUUGGCAAAAUUAAACAUUCAAAACUCACGUGAGAGGAGACAAUGGCAAUGCGACAAUACCACUGUGAUAAAUCCAUAAAUUAAUCUGGUAAACUUUUGAAAUAAUUAUUCUUUUUGAAUUAAAUUUAGUGUUCCUUUUUAAUUUUUCUGAGACCGAACUGAUUGGUCGUUCUACAUUCCAUUUCAGAAGCCAGAAGUUGGGAUUUUUUUCAUUCAACGAAAUGAAAGCUCUUAACCUCAUCCAUUCGAGUUUUAAGGAAUGAAUUAUCGCUGUUUGCGCUUCAAUAUUUACGGUCCCGACCUUCAGAUUUUACAUUUUUCAAGAGUAAUUUUCCAUUGCACUUUAUUUCAUUUCCAUUAUCCUCUGAAUUUUUGAAUUCGAAUAAAAAAAAUCCACAGAGUGGGUUAAAGUGGAUUAAUUUUAAUAAACAUGAUUACAUUAAUAUACUAGGGAUGUUUGUAUGAAAGUGAAAAAUUAUUUCCGAGGACUCGAAAAAACUCCUGAGAAUGGGACCUGCGAAGCUCGAUAACGCUCGUAAAUUAUGAAGAGAUAUUUUAAUACGAAUGGGACAGAAUUAAGAAAAGAAGAAUUAAGAAUUAUUCGUUGCCUUUUCGUUGAAAAGGCAACGAAUAGUUGUUGAAUAAUACUUCAGCAGCAAAGAUUUAUUAAUAAAUGAAGUAAUAUGUCAUUGCACUUUGUCAUUUACAUUGCAUUCACACAAUCAAAGUUAUUAUUUUUAGAAUUCUCUGGUUGGAUUUUUAUCCAGAUGGAAAUACUCCGGGCACCGCCAUUUCUACCUCUACUCUAAUAUUAAGAAAACGAUGGAAUGUGACUAGGAUGAUUGUGAUUGAACCUAUACUCAUCCCGAUGCACAUGAAGGAUUGCCUUAGUAUGAAUAAUCGACAUUACAACUCAAUUAUGCGGUUGCAAAUAGACCUUCAUAUCAGGUGAUAGU